RNAcentral lists this long non-coding RNA (798 nucleotides) under Toxoplasma gondii VEG. Lineage: Eukaryota; Apicomplexa; Conoidasida; Eucoccidiorida; Sarcocystidae. The record is from RNAcentral.
CUGCAAACUAUGACUUGCGUCCGGAUGGUGGGGUGACAGUCAGAACAGCGGAGAGGUCUCACGGGGUUUCCAGUUUUCGAGAGUGUGGCGUGGCAGUGGCGAUUGGCUAUUUGUCUUAGGGAGUGCUCAAGCUGUUCCUUGGCUGAAACUUGCUAGGUUAAGUCGAACCGAACAAGAGCUUGCGCCCUAAGUGCGGGUGGAAGGGCGGGAGGGUGAAACUGCAAGGAACUGGUAAACUCAACAGUGAAAAUAGGCUGAGAACGCAAUCAUUACACGUUUACCAGUCCCGAGAAACAACCGUGUUUCGCAGUUGCUGCUUCUACCGCAAAGAACCACGAAAGUUGAAGCCGCCUUUUUGUGCGCCGGCUUAUAUACGGGCACUCAGCCGCUUGCGAGUCCUCAGGCGCUCAAAGUGUACACAAAUCGGCCACCUUGUUGCCUUGCCCUCCUGAACGUGAACGGCUUCAAGCCGGGGUGACAAAGUAUAGGAUAGAAAAGGGGUUACUACUGGUAAGGUCGAACUCGAUAUUCGUACGGUGUCUGUCAAUUUCUUGAUCCGUGCUGGGGGGAGUAUUCUUGAACAUUCCGGUGCGUUUCUCUGCAUGGAAAGUUGCAGAAAUCUUGACCCUGUACAAAACUGGAUUCUCGAAACAGCCCCGUGUCGACGGCUAGUUUCAAGAGGCUGCUCGAGCUCACGUCGCUUCUCGCACCGUCGUGAUCGAAGUAUGAGUUCCUUUUUCUCCGAGCACUGAUCUCAUAGAGUCACAACGGCGUAUUCCCUCCCACUUUCGUGAGCGG